UCGCUGUCACAACGGCUUCCUGACGUGACGGUCAUUUUUUAAUUGGAGCG
Molecule: regulatory RNA element, 50 nt
Rfam family: SAM/SAH riboswitch aptamer
Source: Rfam